This 946-nucleotide ribosomal RNA is filed under the name Fellodistomidae gen. n. sp. n. CG-2020. RNAcentral describes it as "SSU rRNA". It matches the Rfam family "Eukaryotic small subunit ribosomal RNA", at positions 873 to 1764 of the family's 1831-position model. Lineage: Eukaryota; Metazoa; Platyhelminthes; Trematoda; Strigeidida; Fellodistomidae. The record is from RNAcentral.
UAGAGGACAGACGGGGGCAUUUGUAGGGCGGUGUUAGAGGUGAAAUUCUUGGAUCGCCGCCAGACAAACUACAGCGAAAGCAUUUGCCAAGGAUGUUUUCAUUGAUCUGGAGCGAAAGUCAGAGGUUCGAAGACGAUCAGAUACCGUCCUAGUUCUGACCAUAAACGAUGCCAACUGACGAUCCGUGGAGAUUCUAUUAAUGACCCCGCGGGCAGUCCCCGGAAAACCUUUAAGUGUUUGGGCUCCGGGGGAAGUAUGGUUGCAAAGCUGAAACUUAAAGGAAUUGACGGAAGGGCACCACCAGGAGUGGAGCCUGCGGCUUAAUUCGACUCAACACGGGAAAACUUACCCGGUCCGGACACUGUGAGGAUUGACAGAUUGAUAGCUCUUUCUUGAUUCGGUGGUUGGUGGUGCAUGGCCGUUCUUAGUUGGUGGAGCGAUUUGUCUGGUUAAUUCCGAUAACGAACGAGACUUUGACCUACUAAAUAGUAUGCCUGUCCUCUGUGCUUGUACAGGUUGCGGUAUGUGUUGCCUCGUUAGGGGUGACUGUAUCGGUUUCCGGCGAGUACGGCGCGGGUGCUUACUUCUUAGAGGAACAAGCGGCGCAAGCUGCACGAGAUUGAGCAAUAACAGGUCUGUGAUGCCCUUAGAUGUCCGGGGCCGCACGUGCGCUACAAUGACGAUCUCAGCGAGUUUGGAAUCCUGACCCGAAAGGGUUGGGCAAACUGUACCAUGACCGUCGUGACUGGGAUCGGGGUUUGCAAUUGUCUCCCGUGAACGAGGAAUUCCUGGUAAGUGCAAGUCAUUAGCUUGCGCUGAUUACGUCCCUGCCCUUUGUACACACCGCCCGUCGCUACUACCGAUUGAAUGGUUUAGCAAGGUCAUUGGAUUGGUGCCAUUGCCAGUGGCUUCGGCUGCUCGACCGGUGCUGAGAAGACGACCGAAC